Molecule: long non-coding RNA, 380 nt
Filed under: Coturnix japonica (Japanese quail)
Lineage: Eukaryota; Metazoa; Chordata; Aves; Galliformes; Phasianidae
Description: lncRNA (ENSCJPG00005015821.1)
Source: RNAcentral
CUCUUGUCGAUUAUGUGAAAGGCAUAUUUCAGUUUUCCAGUGCUGGCACAGAUCUGGGAGAAGAGUGAUGGAAAUCAAAGAGAUCGAGUACGACUUGGAAGACAUAGUCUGUCUGACUUUCCUGCAGAAGUGCUUUGCAGCAGCAAAGGCAAAGCCUCUCUCCCCAGAGGAUGUAAAAACAAAGAUAUCAUCAUGAAUAUGUAAAAAUUCCACCUCAGGACAUGUUAUGCUUAUAGAAAAUGAGUUCAUAAUGAGAAGUGUUUCUUCAAGUAAAAAUGCACAUCACCUCAUUUUAGGGGUCCUCAGAGUAUUGAACAGGGGUGUGAUGUGGAACAGUGCUGAGCAAUAAAGCAUUGUGAAAACCUUUUCUGUGUGGUGGG